GACGAACGCUGGCGGCGUGCUUAACACAUGCAAGUCGAACGGAAAGGCCGUGCUUUUGUGGGGUGCUCGAGUGGCGAACGGGUGAGUAACACGUGAGUAACCUGCACUUGACUUUGGGAUAACUUCAGGAAACUGGGGCUAAUACCGGAUAGGAGCUCCUGCUGCAUGGUGGGGGUUGGAAAGUUUCGGCGGUUGGGGAUGGACUCGCGGCUUAUUAGCUUGUUGGUGGGGUAGUGGCUGACGAAGGCUAUGAAGGGUAGCCGGCCUGCGAGGGUGACCGGCCCCAUUGGGAUUGGGAUGCGGCCCAGACUCCAACGGUAGGCAGCGGUGGGGAGUAUUGCACUAUGGGCUGAACCCUGGUGCAGCAACGCCGCGUGCUGUAUGUCGACCUUCGGUUUGUAUACCGCUGCCGCCUUUGACGAAACGUUAGUGACGGUAAUGGGUAAAUAAGCACCGGCUAACUACGUG
RNAcentral lists this ribosomal RNA (468 nucleotides) under uncultured bacterium. Its description in RNAcentral is "partial 16S ribosomal RNA". It matches the Rfam family "Bacterial small subunit ribosomal RNA", at positions 28 to 507 of the family's 1533-position model. The record is from RNAcentral.